AGCAGCCGCGGUAAUUCCAGCUCCAAUAGCGUAUAUUAAAGUUGUUGCAGUUAAAAGCUCGUAGCUGAAUUUCGGGAUCAAGUCGUCGGUCGUGCUCAGGUACGUACUGGCGUCAUUGAUUUCUCCCUUCUGACGAACCAUGAUGUCAUUAAUUUGGUGUCAUGGGAAAUCAGGACUGUUACUUUGAAAAAGUUGAGUGUUUAAAGCAGGCUCACGCUUGAAUACAUUAGCAUGGAAUAAUGAAAUAGGACGUUCGAUCCUAUUUUGUUGGUUUUUAGGAUCAACGUAAUGAUUAAUAGGGAUAGUUGGGGGCAUUAGUAUUCAGUUGUCAGAGGUGAAAUUCUUGGAUUUAUUGAAGACUAACUACUGCGAAAGCAUUUGCCAAGG
This 387-nucleotide unclassified non-coding RNA is filed under the name uncultured Glomus. Its description in RNAcentral is "SSU rRNA". It matches the Rfam family "Eukaryotic small subunit ribosomal RNA", at positions 569 to 963 of the family's 1831-position model. The record is from RNAcentral. Lineage: Eukaryota; Fungi; Glomeromycota; Glomeromycetes; Glomerales; Glomeraceae.